This 468-nucleotide ribosomal RNA is filed under the name uncultured bacterium. RNAcentral's name for it is "partial 16S ribosomal RNA". It matches the Rfam family "Bacterial small subunit ribosomal RNA", at positions 28 to 507 of the family's 1533-position model. The record is from RNAcentral.
GACGAACGCUGGCGGCGUGCUUAACACAUGCAAGUCGAACGGACAGGCCCUGCUUUUGUGGGGGGCUCGAGUGGCGAACGGAUGAGUCACACGUGAGUAACCUGCCCUUGACUUUGGGAUAACUUCAGGAAACUGGGGCUAAUACCGGAUAGGAGCUCCUGCUGCAUGGUGGGGGUUGGAAAUUUUCGGCGGUUGGGGAUGGACUCGCGGCGUAUCAGCUUGUUGGUGGGGUAGUGGCUUACCAAGGCUUUGACGGGUAGCCGGGCUGGGAGGGUGACCGGCCACAUUGGGACUGAGAUACGGCCCAGACUCAUACGGGAGGGAGCAGUGGGGAAUAUUGCACAAUGGGCGGAAGCCUGAUGCAGCAACGCCGCGUGCGGGAUGACGGCCUGCGGGCUGUAAACCGCUUUCGCCUGUGACGAAGCGUGAGUGACGGUAAUGGGUAAAGAAGCACCGGCUAACUACGUG